UCUAUUAAGAAUUCGGCUGCUUGGAGUGGAAUCAAAGAAUGCCAUUGGAGCGCGAAAAAUGCAGAAGUGCAUCUUAUUGAAGAUUAUGGUAGCUGUGACAUCUUGUGAGAUUGGUGUUGCCCAACCCACUUCACAGAAACUAAACACGCUAAUUACUUAACAAAACAGCUGAUAUCCAAAUCAGAAGCAAAUCAAUAACAAUAACAUUAUAAAGUAUUUAAAUAAACCAAUAAAUCUUUUAAUUUUUAAAAGGCACAUAAAAGUAAAAAUAGUAGCGCAAAAAUGUCUUACACAUCUGAUGGUUUGAUUAUCGUCCCUAGUUAACUAUAUUUUUUUAAAACAAAACAAAAAGGAAAAAGAAAAAACGAAGACUUACAGUGGUAUUUUUUUUUUAUAAGAAAGAAAAAAAAAAGAUAUUAGUUACAUUUAAAAUGAAAUAAAUGGCAAGAGUUAACCAAAACAUAAAAAAACGCGAACAGACUAAUGCAUGAGGGGGGGAAAAGAAGAAAAGAAAUGAUAUAAGAAGGUGAGUUCUCUGGUGCCUGGAUACCGGUGACUAACGGUGGCCAUGUUUUGACCCACCAAUAACAUCAUAACAUCUGGCCCAAAGAAUUCUCUAGGAAUGAGCGAAACGACGUCGCUGAGGAAUAUGCAAUUAAAGAUAAAUACAGUAACUUUAGUAAGUUUGCUGGGAAGGUAUUUAUGUAAUUUUACAUCCGAAAAAUAAUUUUUGUUUCUUUUUUAAAUAAAAGUCUUGAUGUUCUAUUGGAUAAGAAGCAUCAUCAUGGUGGAGCACCGUACCAGCAGAAAAUGAAUGCGUAUGCUCUUUUACUGAAACUCGAAGCACCGUAUGUUGGGACUUGGAGCCACUGGAAGAAGUGGCAGUUAGAAGUGUCUGAAAGAACAGCGGCAGCUCAUCAGCGUCUUCGGCGGAUUGAUGAGGAAGAAGGGGCGUGUUCUCAUCAGGUCCAGAUUUUCAUUUAGGCAUGUCUUCAUGAAGGCCAUGACAAAAAAAAAAAAGCAGUGAGGGUAUUUGUGGAAAACGGUGCAUUUGUAAAUGCAGCGGAUGUUCAAAAUGAACUCAGUUGCAAGUUUCAUUAGCUUAUUAGAGACGAGAAACAAGUUGAGAAAACCGUGACUUUCGCGGUGGAGAAAUAUGGAAGGCUUUUCAGCCUACCUUUGAUGAUUUUUGAAUGUUGUGGAACCUUCUGAACCAAUCUUUCUAUUUUUUGUAUUUUUCAAUUUAUUACAUUUUUCUGGGAUGAUUUAUUAUUUGUUUAUUACUCUUAAUUAAUAUUCAAAAAUUUUACCUUUUUUCACUUUUUUUUAUUAGCUAAUUUAUCAUGGUCAACCAUGUCAAAGCCUGCCUUCCAUUUGUGCUAAAUAUGCCACAUGCCAACAUUGCAUUGGUUGAUUUAAUUUAGUCACCAUAGUCACCAUAAGAGAAAAGCCACCAUAGAAAUCACCUUAAGAAGAAACCGCCAAUUUUAAAGUGUGAGAAAGAGUUGCACUAACGCCAAUUUUAUCGAUGUGUUGUUAGUGAUAUGCCAGCUAAGCAGAAUUCGUUAGAGUAUAAAACCCAGAGUAACAAACUCAACAUGCUUUUCUUCACUUCUUCGAAUUUCAAACGUCAUUUUUUCUUCUCCUUCCAUCUCUCUUCAUAGCUUUUGGUACGAUCGGCUUUAAUCACUGCACCAUCCGAAUCCGAAUUGCAAUCGAACAUAUGGAAGAAGAAACAAUGUAUCCCUGCACUAACUGUGAAGAGUCUUUUGCAAGUAAAAUCAAAUUGGUUUCCCAUUCAAAGCUGAAGCACAAAAAAUGUGUUGUUGUUUGCGAACUGUGUGGAAACGGAUUCAAAAAUAACAAAAACCUUAAAUUUCAUCAGAAUCAGGUACAGUUCUUUAAUUUUUACCUCAUUUACCUCUAUAAAAUUUCAAUGACUCUUCUUUAAUAUUCUAUAUUAGUGUGUUUUUGUUCAAGAAGCCAGCUCAAGGCCCUUGCAAGAGCGCUUUAUGUGCGUUCAUUGCAAGGGUGGAGCGAUUUUUAAUCAUCCAAACGAAUUGAAGAGGCACGCUCGAAAGAAGCACGAGGACUGUAAAUUUUCUUGCUGCUGUGGAAACCUAUUCGAAAGCAAGAAGGAACGUGAUCUCCAUUUAAGAGAGUGCGUGCAUUAUCAAGGGGAAAACUAAAGACACUAGACGAUACAUUUGAAGGUUAUAACAAAAUAUGUGAGUAUUUUUACUGAUCAGAGGGCAUAUGUACAAACUCGCCUUUGCCUGGCGAUUAUUCAAAAUUAGGUGUAACCCAUAGUCAAAUGUGUGUAACAAUACUAUCAAAUGUGUGUAACAAUACUGCUUCUGAUACGUUUAAUAUCUAGUGGUGAG
Molecule: non-coding RNA, 2384 nt
Organism: Arachis ipaensis
Lineage: Eukaryota; Viridiplantae; Streptophyta; Magnoliopsida; Fabales; Fabaceae
Source: RefSeq, a predicted model, not a curated record